GACGAACGCUGGCGGCGUGCUUAACACAUGCAAGUCGAACGGAAAGGCCCCUUUGGGGGUGCUCGAGUGGCGGACGGGUGGGUAACACGUGAGUAAGUUGCCCUCCCUUUCCUGUUGACUUCAGGCAAGAGGGGGUAGUACCGGCUAGAAAUCCUUGCUUCAUGGUGGGGGUUGGAAAGCAUGGGCGGUCUUGGUUGGAUUCGCGGCUUAUCAGCUUGUUGGUGGGUUGGUGGGUUACCAAGGCUUUGACGGGUAGCCGGCCUGCGUGGGCGACCGGCCACAUUGGGGCUGGGAUACGGCCCAGACUCCUACGGGCGGCAGCAGUGGGGAAUAUUGCACAAUGGGCGGAAGCCUGAUGCAGCAACGCCGCGGGCGGGAUGACGGCCUUCGGGUUGUAAACCGCUUUCAGCAGGGGCGAAGCUUGUGGUGACGGUACCUGCAGAAGAAGCACCGGCUAACUACGUG
RNAcentral lists this ribosomal RNA (465 nucleotides) under uncultured bacterium. Its description in RNAcentral is "partial 16S ribosomal RNA". It matches the Rfam family "Bacterial small subunit ribosomal RNA", at positions 28 to 507 of the family's 1533-position model. The record is from RNAcentral.